UACGUAGGGCGCAAGCGUUAUCCGGAAUUAUUGGGCGUAAAGCGCACGUAGGCGGUUCGUUAUGUCGGAUGUGAAAGCCCUUGGCUUAACCGAGGAAGUGCAUCCGAAACUGGCGAGCUAGAGUACGAAAGAGGAUCGCGGAAUUCCCGGUGUAGAGGUGAAAUUCGUAGAUAUCGGGAGGAACACCGGUGGCGAAGGCGGCGAUCUGGGUCGAUACUGACGCUGAGGUGCGAAAGCGUGGGGAGCAAACAGG
Molecule: ribosomal RNA, 253 nt
Filed under: uncultured bacterium
Lineage: Bacteria
Description: partial 16S ribosomal RNA
Rfam family: Bacterial small subunit ribosomal RNA
Source: RNAcentral